UGCAAAGACAAGCAGUGGAAACCACUUUUCAAAGGUGUGGAGACUGAUGAACUGGAGUUGCUGACAAGAAGACUGAAGGAAUGCUGUGCUAGACUGCGAAAUAUCAGAACUGGGGUGGAUGAUCAGUUCCACUGCCAAAUGGAAACAAAUAUGUUAGCAUUAGAGUUGAGGUGCCUUUACAGGUCUGCUGGUAUGAUUGCAGAUAUAACUUGUUAUUUAUACAAUUGUAUAUGUGUGAUAUUUUUCUCAGCUAAAACUUGUGACCUAUCUUUAUUCAUUUAUUAG
RNAcentral lists this long non-coding RNA (285 nucleotides) under Oryza sativa Indica Group (long-grained rice). Its description in RNAcentral is "lncRNA OsLiXu_06g0009170". The record is from RNAcentral. Lineage: Eukaryota; Viridiplantae; Streptophyta; Magnoliopsida; Poales; Poaceae.